AAUUAACGCAUUGAAAAGAAUCCGAAAUUUUAAGUCAAAAGGAAAUCUUUUUUAUUAUGGUAAAGAGGUGUAUUCUAGCAGGUUUCCAUUUACAAGUUGGUUUCCACAAGAAAAUGUUUUCGGUGACCUAAAGGGAGUCAAAGAAUAGUAGUAUAUAUGCAGCAUUGCUGGGAAGUGAAGCAGAUACCUUUUUGCAAAUCCAUAGAUCUAAAAAUUAGAAGAAGCAAGAAGGAGCAAUUAAGUAAAAUCGAG
RNAcentral lists this long non-coding RNA (252 nucleotides) under Capsicum annuum. RNAcentral's name for it is "long non-coding RNA (CANN_LNC019475)". Lineage: Eukaryota; Viridiplantae; Streptophyta; Magnoliopsida; Solanales; Solanaceae. The record is from RNAcentral.